This 135-nucleotide small nucleolar RNA is filed under the name Propithecus coquereli (Coquerel's sifaka). RNAcentral's name for it is "Small nucleolar RNA SNORA70 (ENSPCOG00000012534.1)". It matches the Rfam family "Small nucleolar RNA SNORA70". Rfam says of the family: snoRNA U70 seems to be exclusive to mammals and is a member of the H/ACA class of snoRNA which contain H (ANANNA) and ACA box motifs. Lineage: Eukaryota; Metazoa; Chordata; Mammalia; Primates; Indriidae. The record is from Rfam by way of RNAcentral.
CUGCAGCCAAUUAAGCCGACCAUGCUCCUUCCCUCAUGGGGGCCCGGUGUGCAAUGGCUGCAAACAGCAGCCUCCUUGGUAGUGUAUGCAGCCUGUUGCUUGUAUGGGUUGCUCUAAGGGACCUUGGAGACAGUC